RNAcentral lists this microRNA precursor (106 nucleotides) under Tupaia belangeri (northern tree shrew). Its description in RNAcentral is "miRNA (ENSTBEG00000020018.1)". Lineage: Eukaryota; Metazoa; Chordata; Mammalia; Scandentia; Tupaiidae. The record is from RNAcentral.
UCUUAGAUGUGUAGGUACAAUCUCGCUGGGGCCUCUAAAAUGUAUUCAAAUUAGCAUGAGAAUAAGAGGACAUCCAGUUUUAGCCAAAUUAAGGAGCCAUUUAUUA